RNAcentral lists this transfer RNA (73 nucleotides) under Stegodyphus mimosarum. It matches the Rfam family "tRNA". Rfam says of the family: Transfer RNA (tRNA) molecules are approximately 80 nucleotides in length. Their secondary structure includes four short double-helical elements and three loops (D, anti-codon, and T loops). Lineage: Eukaryota; Metazoa; Arthropoda; Arachnida; Araneae; Eresidae. The record is from Rfam by way of RNAcentral.
GCCUUCGUGGUGUAAUGGUCAGCACACUCGGCUCGUAUUCGAGAAGUUCAAGGUUCGAGUCUUGGUGAGGGCA